RNAcentral lists this ribosomal RNA (375 nucleotides) under uncultured organism. RNAcentral describes it as "partial 16S ribosomal RNA". It matches the Rfam family "Bacterial small subunit ribosomal RNA", at positions 527 to 896 of the family's 1533-position model. The record is from RNAcentral.
GAAGGGCCCGAGCGUUAAUCGGAAUCACUGGGCUUAAAGCGUACGCAGGCGGACUCGCAGGCAUCUUGUGAAAUCCCUCGGCUCAACCGAGGGACUGCAGGGUGAACCGCGCGUCUUGAGGCAAGUAGGGGCUGUCGGAACGCUAGGUGGAGUGGUGAAAUGCGUUGAUAUCUAGCGGAACGCCGAAGGAGAAAUCAGGCAGCUGGGCUUGUUCUGACGCUGAGGUACGAAAGCGUGGGGGGAGCGAACGGGAUUAGAUACCCCGGUAGUCCACGCCGUAAACGAUGUGCACUAGAUCGGGGGAGGUUCUGACACCGUUCCCGGUCGAAGCGAAAGUGUUAAGUGCACCGCCUGGGGAGUACGGUCGCAAGGCUA